This 497-nucleotide ribosomal RNA is filed under the name uncultured bacterium. Its description in RNAcentral is "partial 16S ribosomal RNA". It matches the Rfam family "Bacterial small subunit ribosomal RNA", at positions 28 to 507 of the family's 1533-position model. The record is from RNAcentral.
GAUGAACGCUGGCGGCGUGCCUAAUACAUGCAAGUCGAGCGAACAGACGAGGAGCUUGCUCCUCUGACGUUAGCGGCGGACGGGUGAGUAACACGUGGAUAACCUACCUAUAAGACUGGGAUAACUUCGGGAAACCGGAGCUAAUACCGGAUAACAUGUUGAACCGCAUGGUUCAACAGUGAAAGACGGUCUUGCUGUCACUUAUAGAUGGAUCCGCGCCGCAUUAGCUAGUUGGUAAGGUAACGGCUUACCAAGGCAACGAUGCGUAGCCGACCUGAGAGGGUGAUCGGCCACACUGGAACUGAGACACGGUCCAGACUCCUACGGGAGACAGCAGUAGGGAAUCUUCCGCAAUGGGCGAAAGCCUGACGGAGCAACGCCGCGUGAGUGAAGAAGGUCUUCGGAUCGUAAAACUCUGUUAUUAGGGAAGAACAAAUGUGUAAGUAACUAUGCACGUCUUGACGGUACCUAAUCAGAAAGCCACGGCUAACUACGUG